UACGAAGGGGGCUAGCGUUGCUCGGAAUCACUGGGCGUAAAGCGCGUGUAGGCUGCCUCGAAAGUCAGGUGUGAAAGCCCUGGGCUCAACCCAGGAAGUGCACUUGAAACUUCGAGGCUCGAGUUCUGGAGAGGAUGGCGGAAUUCUCGGUGUAGAGGUGAAAUUCGUAGAUAUGCGGAGGAACACCGAUGGCGAAGGCAAUCCCCUGGACCUGUACUGACGCUCAUGCACGAAAGCGUGGGGAGCAAACAGG
This 253-nucleotide ribosomal RNA is filed under the name uncultured bacterium. Its description in RNAcentral is "partial 16S ribosomal RNA". It matches the Rfam family "Bacterial small subunit ribosomal RNA", at positions 524 to 776 of the family's 1533-position model. The record is from RNAcentral.